CCUACGGGUGGCUGCAGUGGGGAAUAUUGCACAAUGGGGGAAACCCUGAUGCAGCGACGCCGCGUGAGUGAAGAAGGAUCUCGGGACGUACAGCUCUAUCAGCAGGGAAGAGAAUGACGGUACCUGACCAAGAAGCCCCGGCUAACGACGUGCCAGCAGCCGCGGUAAUACGUAGGGGGCAAGCGUUAGCCGGAUUGACGGGGGGGAACGGGCGCGUAGCCGGCAGCCCCAGUGUGGCGUGACAUCCCGGGGCUGAACCCCGGAACUGCUUUUGCAACUGUGCGGCUGGAGUGCAGGAGGGGUAAGCGUAAUUCCUCGUGUAGCGGUGAACUGCGUCUAUAUUAGGCGGAACACCGGUGGCGAAGGCGGCUUACUGGACUGUAACUGCCGUUGAGGCUCGAAAGCGUGGGGAGCACACAGGAUUAGAUACCCCUGUAGUC
This 440-nucleotide ribosomal RNA is filed under the name uncultured bacterium. Its description in RNAcentral is "partial 16S ribosomal RNA". It matches the Rfam family "Bacterial small subunit ribosomal RNA", at positions 338 to 795 of the family's 1533-position model. The record is from RNAcentral.